UACUGUAAAAAUUCAUUAUUUCUCAAAAUUAGUAUUGAGACCUCCCUCUUUAAAAAAAAAAAUGACAGAUGCCUCCAACGUUGUCUUAAGUAGUUUUUGGCUUUGUAAUAAAGGUACUGAGACAUGGAUAAACGUGGAACUCCCUGUGAGCUUUGGAUGCUGACAGCUCUUGUGCUGGAUGAGCAGAAAUCGAAUUCCAAUCCAGUGUGAACACAUCUACAGAUAGCAUCAUGGAAAACAAGGUAUUACCUUGCUGCAGGCAUCACUGAGAUCUUGGUGGAAAAGGACCCUUCCUCCUCCCAAUCCAGGGCAGGCUUGUAACUUGAGGUCUACCAAUUGCCUGGGGUUCGUGGAUGGAGUUCAGAYGGUCUGAGAACUUGGAGGGGAAGAAGCUGUGUCUUUCUAGUGCUGCCAAGAUGUUAUUCCAGACUGUGGAAGGAGGGGUGGCACACAGAAGCUCUCUGUCCAGGGGAGACAGAUCUGUCCAGAGUGGUCACUUCUUGACAUCAACUAUAUASUGGGCACAUCCAGGUUCUUCAUAUAUUUUCUCUAAACCUUGCAACAAUGAGGUGGACAUUGCGGUUCUCAGCUUCUCCCCAGGGAAACUGAGGCUCAGGAAGGCGCCGACAAAACAGUCAAUACACCAGACACUGGAAAACCCGGGAGCAGAGUUCAUGUUUCCCUUCUCAAGGGUACUCCAGGCCACAUCUCCCCCAUACCCCAUAGGUAGUUGACUGGAUGAAAAGAGAUCAGCUGGCCCUGCCAGGAGUGGGCCAGCAAAUCCUCAAGAAAAGGCRAGUCAGGGACCAGCCUGAGACUCAGGCAAGUGCGGCUGCUCUACCYCAGCCAGGGCACCCCCUUCCCCUCUGCAGUUCCAGCCUGUGCCUACCAUGGGGUCCUGCCCAUGGGGACACAUGGAACUGCUGUACCCACCUUGCCCCAUGAGCAGAGAGGGCAAGGCCCUCAGUACUUGGGGAGGCUGGGGACCUCUGAGCAGAGUGGUCCUGCAGCAGGACCUCUGGAGCACUCAUCAGGACCUCUGGAGAGCUGACGUGAACCUAUGGAGAGCUCAUGUAGACCUCUGAAGAGCUUGUGUGGACCUCUGAAGAGCUUGUGUGGACCUCUGGAGUGCUCCUGUGGACCUCUGGAGUGCUCCUGUGGACCUCUGGAGAGCUCGUGUGGACCUAUGGAGAACUCAUCAGGACCUCUGGAGAGCUCGUGUGGACCUAUUGAGAGCUCGUGUGGACCUCUGGAGUGUUCGUCUGGGGAGAUACGAGUCUUGGAGUAUUUAACUCCAUUUUAGCUGCAUUUUAGGUGCCCUGUGGUGUGUGUGAGGAGGGAGGAGGGCCAUAUUGGGAAAGGUG
Molecule: long non-coding RNA, 1364 nt
Organism: Urocitellus parryii (Arctic ground squirrel)
Lineage: Eukaryota; Metazoa; Chordata; Mammalia; Rodentia; Sciuridae
Source: RefSeq, a predicted model, not a curated record